RNAcentral lists this ribosomal RNA (541 nucleotides) under uncultured Capnodiales. Its description in RNAcentral is "eukaryotic LSU rRNA". The stretch from base 177 to 330 matches the Rfam family "5.8S ribosomal RNA". Lineage: Eukaryota; Fungi; Ascomycota; Dothideomycetes; Capnodiales. The record is from RNAcentral.
GACCUGCGGAGGGAUCAUUACAAGUGACCCCGGUCUAACCACCGGGAUGUUCAUAACCCUUUGUUGUCCGACUCUGUUGCCUCCGGGGCGACCCUGCCUUCGGGCGGGGGCUCCGGGUGGACACUUCAAACUCUUGCGUAACUUUGCAGUCUGAGUAAACUUAAUUAAUAAAUUAAAACUUUUAACAACGGAUCUCUUGGUUCUGGCAUCGAUGAAGAACGCAGCGAAAUGCGAUAAGUAAUGUGAAUUGCAGAAUUCAGUGAAUCAUCGAAUCUUUGAACGCACAUUGCGCCCCCUGGUAUUCUGGGGGGCAUGCCUGUUCGAGCGUCAUUUCACCACUCAAGCCUCGCUUGGUAUUGGGCAACGCGGUCCGCCGCGUGCCUCAAAUCGACCGGCUGGGUCUUCUGUCCCCUAAGCGUUGUGGAAACUAUUCGCUAAAGGGUGUUCGGGAGGCUACGCCGUAAAACAACCCCAUUUCUAAGGUUGACCUCGGAUCAGGUAGGGAUACCCGCUGAACUUAAGCAUAUCAAUAAGCGGAGGA